UACGUAGGGGGCAAGCGUUAUCCGGAUUUACUGGGUGUAAAGGGAGCGUAGACGGCAAUGCAAGUCUGGAGUGAAAUGCCAGGGCUUAACCCUGGAACUGCUCUGGAAACUGUAGAGCUAGAGUGCAGGAGAGGUAAGUGGAAUUCCUAGUGUAGCGGUGAAAUGCGUAGAUAUUAGGAGGAACACCGGUGGCGAAGGCGGCUUACUGGACUGUAACUGACGUUGAGGCUCGAAAGCGUGGGGAGCAAACAGG
This 253-nucleotide ribosomal RNA is filed under the name uncultured bacterium. RNAcentral describes it as "partial 16S ribosomal RNA". It matches the Rfam family "Bacterial small subunit ribosomal RNA", at positions 524 to 776 of the family's 1533-position model. The record is from RNAcentral.